GCAGUCGGGAAUCUUGCGCAAUGGGGGAAACCCUGACGCAGCCAUGCCGCGUGAGUGAAGAAGGCCUUCGGGUUGUAAAGCUCUUUCAGUAGGGAUGAUGAUGACAGUACCUACAGAAGAAGCCCCGGCCAACUUCGUGCCAGCAGCCGCGGUAACACGAAGGGGGCUAGCGUUGUUCGGAAUUACUGGGCGUAAAGGGCGUGUAGGCGGUCAUUGUAAGUCGGGGGUGAAAUCCCGGGGCUCAACCCCGGAACUGCCUUCGAUACUACAUGACUAGAGUGCGGAAGGGGCUAGUGGAAUUUCCAGUGGAGAGGUGAAAUUCGUAGAGAUUGGAAGGAACACCAGAGGCGAAGGCGACUAGCUGGACCGCAACUGACGCUGAGGCGCGAAAGCGUGGGUAGCAAACAGGAUUAGAUACCCUGGUAGUCCACGCCGUAAACGAUGUGUGCUCGUUAUUGGGCUUUUUGUUCAGUGACUGAAGCUAACGCGUUAAGCACACCGCCUGGGGAGUACGGUCGCAAGAUUAAAACUUAAAGGAAUUGACGGGGGCCCGCACAAGCGGUGGAGUAUGUGGUUUAAUUCGAAGCAACGCGCAGAACCUUACCAGCCCUUGACAUCUUGGUCGCGAAUUCCAGAGAUGGAAUUUUUCAGUUCGGCUGGACCAAAGACAGGUGUUGCAUGGCUGUCGUCAGCUCGUGUC
Molecule: ribosomal RNA, 700 nt
Filed under: uncultured Alphaproteobacteria bacterium
Lineage: Bacteria; Pseudomonadati; Pseudomonadota; Alphaproteobacteria
Description: bacterial SSU rRNA
Rfam family: Bacterial small subunit ribosomal RNA
Source: RNAcentral